GCCGGAGUGGCGGAAUUGGCAGACGCCCGGGACUUAAAAUCCCGUGGGAGCGAUCCCGUGCCGGUUCGAUCCCGGUCUCCGGCACCA
This 87-nucleotide transfer RNA is filed under the name Clostridiales bacterium. RNAcentral describes it as "tRNA-Leu". It matches the Rfam family "tRNA". Rfam says of the family: Transfer RNA (tRNA) molecules are approximately 80 nucleotides in length. RNAcentral also lists the same sequence under 15 other names. The record is from RNAcentral. Lineage: Bacteria; Bacillati; Bacillota; Clostridia; Eubacteriales.